This 639-nucleotide long non-coding RNA is filed under the name Pan troglodytes (chimpanzee). Its description in RNAcentral is "long non-coding RNA NONPTRT010122". The record is from RNAcentral. Lineage: Eukaryota; Metazoa; Chordata; Mammalia; Primates; Hominidae.
GACAGACUGGAAGUCCAAUAACAAUCACUUUUAGUUGUAUGGUUUUACUGAGUAUGAGCCUUUAACUCGCACAAAAUCAUACAUACAUUAGAAGUAGAGUCCAAACUAUAACCCAUAUCUCCUGUAUGUAGGGCAAUGAUUUUCUAGGCUAACUGGGCCUGGUAGCCAUGGAAGGAGAAAUAUAUAUAUUCAUAAUUUAUCACUCAAGUUUGAGCAUUCGUAUUCCAGUUGCUAGCCCCAAAGUACUACACAAAGUCUUGAGUUUCCCCUCAUUUCAAGCUUUUAAACAUUCUUCUAUUUGAGCAUGCUGUCAAUGACCCUAACUGAUACCAUGAAUAAUAAUAAAACAUUGAGUAAGGGAAAGUGCCUAAAGACUCUUAAUAUCUAAAUAAAAUUUAAAUUUUAGAGGGCUUCUUGAAAGAAAGAAAAUGUGAUACUCUAUUGUAGAUUACCUUCUAACUUGACAGAACCCUCUGAAGUGAGCUAUGAAUUGAAUAUAUGUUUAUAUUUUGGAAGACGAUGGUGGUAAACUUAGAAAUUAGGAUGAGUAUCACAUGUGAAAAUAAAUGAUGCUGUCCCAUUUGCGGUAAUCAUUAUUUUGCUGACUUGGCUCUAUGUCUGGCUUGCAUUUCAAUAGUG